GAACAGAAUACAUGUUAAACCUUUGUUUUAAAUUGUAAAACGAAUAUUAUUAAUGAAGAUAAUCGAAAAAUAAAAGAGGGAUUAAUGGUCAUGUGAUCGCGAUCUAACGCGAUCACAUGGUGUCCCCUGAUGUCUGUUGGGAGGUGUAGUUGUCCUUAAACCCGGAAGAGGAGAAAGGAUUGGUAGUCACGUGAUCGCGGACUUCCGCGAUCACGUGACGCGCCGCAGUGCCCAUUGGGAAAUGAAGUGUUCAGACGGAGGUUGGCAUCUAAGAGCACGCCUCCGUCUGACGUCGGCAAAUUGGGCGGCGUGAUGCUCCGAGUUUACACGCCGCCUUCACUCUGCAAGUUGAAGGCAUGGAGCCAAAAUAUGGGGCAGAGUUAAAAACGGCAAUAGACUGUGGAUGCUAAAAAUAGUAACUGUAUAAUAGGAAAAUGCCUCUGCUAAAAAAAAA
Non-coding RNA from Pelobates cultripes (western spadefoot toad), 454 nucleotides. The record is from the annotation of a GenBank genome assembly. Lineage: Eukaryota; Metazoa; Chordata; Amphibia; Anura; Pelobatidae.